UCCAAAAAGAAAAUUCCAAACCAAUAACACAUUCGUAGCUGCUCGCCAAGCUCAAAUUUAUAAAAUUAAUGAGAUUUAAACUGUUUUUGUUCAGCUGACCAGAAAUGGAUUCUAAUAUAAAUACCCAAAAUGGUAACAAUAAUGCCAUAAAAAGAUACAUUCUUGAUGAAAAAGUUCCCGAUAAGAAAGUAACUUCUUUGAAAUGUUUGAAUAACAAUAGUGCUGCCCUUCAACGUUUCCUCCGAGAUGAAAUAUGUUCCAACAUCGGAAAUAAUGACAAUCUGAUGUUGACCACACAAGAUCCACCAUGGGAAUAUAACUCGCCACUAGACUGUGACCCACCAAAGAAAAAAAAAGACACCUUAAUAAUAAAAGACUUUGCAUAAUGCACGCUUCAAACCAGACAAGGAAGGAUAGAAGAAGUAAUGAGUAAAGACAGAAUGGAGACCUUGGAUGAGAAGACUCCAGUGCUCAACAAUCUUAAUUAUUAUGUGGGCCAUUCAGUGAAAAAGACAAUCUUAAUUAUUAUGUGGGCCAUUCAGUGAAAAAGACGAUCUUAAUUAUUAUGUGGGCCAUUCAGUGAAAAAGACGAUGCAAGCCUGGCACGCAUUCAAACGCUCAAACCUUCGCGGUGUAACAUUACCACAUGACAAUAUACUGGAAACUCAAUGUUUGAUUGCGGGCGUGUUUACACAAAACACAGAUUUGUGGUGAAAUAAAUGAUCCAUGUACUGAAGAUCUGGUACAUGACAGAUGUUAGAGAAGUUUUCACUUUUUGGCCAACAUUGUUUAAAUACACAAAGGCCGUGUUCGAAUUGGCGGCUAUAGCAGCUACAACCAUUGCUAAGGAUGUCCUAUACUUCAACGCAUGAUGAUGUGGUGAUUCAGCCGCAGCUAUUGCCCUAUAGCCACCAAUUCAAUCACACAUGGCCUUACAAUAGCCUAGGCCCAAUUUCAAAGAGCUGCUUAGCAAAAAAAUUCUUUCUUGAUAAUAAAAAAAAAGGAUUACCAACC
This is a long non-coding RNA of Asterias rubens (European starfish), 1014 nucleotides long. RefSeq lists it as uncharacterized. The record is from RefSeq and is a predicted model, not a curated record. Lineage: Eukaryota; Metazoa; Echinodermata; Asteroidea; Forcipulatida; Asteriidae. The transcript has 5 exons.